GUGCCCGCUUCGGCAGCACAUACACUAAAAUUGGAAUGAUGCGGAGAAGAUUAGCAUGGCCCCUGCGGAAGGAUGACAUGCAAAUUUGUGAAGUGUUCCCUAUUUUU
Nycticebus coucang (slow loris) is the source of this 107-nucleotide small nuclear RNA. Lineage: Eukaryota; Metazoa; Chordata; Mammalia; Primates; Lorisidae. The record is from RefSeq and is a predicted model, not a curated record.